CCAAUAGCGUAUAUUAAAGUUGUUGCAGUUAAAAAGCUCGUAGUUGAAUUUCGAGACCGGUUUAUUGGUCGUGCUUUUGUACGUACUGGUAUUAUUGGUUUCUCCUUUCUGACGAAUCUUAAUGCCAUUAAUUUGGUGUUUUGGGGAAUCAGGACUGUUACUUUGAAAAAAUUAGAGUGUUUAAAGCAGGCUCACGCUUGAAUACAUUAGCAUGGAAUAA
Molecule: ribosomal RNA, 220 nt
Filed under: uncultured Glomus
Lineage: Eukaryota; Fungi; Glomeromycota; Glomeromycetes; Glomerales; Glomeraceae
Description: partial small subunit ribosomal RNA
Rfam family: Eukaryotic small subunit ribosomal RNA
Source: RNAcentral